Molecule: ribosomal RNA, 253 nt
Filed under: uncultured Eubacteriales bacterium
Lineage: Bacteria; Bacillati; Bacillota; Clostridia; Eubacteriales
Description: uncultured Clostridiales bacterium partial 16S ribosomal RNA
Rfam family: Bacterial small subunit ribosomal RNA
Source: RNAcentral
UACGUAGGGGGCAAGCGUUAUCCGGAUUUACUGGGUGUAAAGGGAGCGUAGACGGCAGCGCAAGUCUGGAGUGAAAUGCCGGGGCCCAACCCCGGAACUGCUCUGGAAACUGUGAAGCUGGAGUGCAGGAGAGGUAAGCGGAAUUCCUGGUGUAGCGGUGAAAUGCGUAGAUAUAUGGAAGAACACCAGUGGCGAAAGCGGCUCUCUGGUCUGUAACUGACGCUGAGGUUCGAAAGCGUGGGUAGCAAACAGG